AGCGGAUGAGAAGAGCUUGCUCUUCGAUUCAGCGGCGGACGGGUGAGUAAUGCCUAGGAAUCUGCCUGGUAGUGGGGGACAACGUUUCGAAAGGAACGCUAAUACCGCAUACGUCCUACGGGAGAAAGCAGGGGACCUUCGGGCCUUGCGCUAUCAGAUGAGCCUAGGUCGGAUUAGCUAGUUGGUGAGGUAAUGGCUCACCAAGGCUACGAUCCGUAACUGGUCUGAGAGGAUGAUCAGUCACACUGGAACUGAGACACGGUCCAGACUCCUACGGGAGGCAGCAGUGGGGAAUAUUGGACAAUGGGCGAAAGCCUGAUCCAGCCAUGCCGCGUGUGUGAAGAAGGUCUUCGGAUUGUAAAGCACUUUAAGUUGGGAGGAAGGGCAGUAAGCUAAUACCUUGCUGUUUUGACGUUACCGACAGAAUAAGCACCGGCUAACUCUGUGCCAGCAGCCGCGGUAAUACAGAGGGUGCAAGCGUUAAUCGGAAUUACUGGGCGUAAAGCGCGCGUAGGUGGUUUGUUAAGUUGGAUGUGA
This 537-nucleotide ribosomal RNA is filed under the name Pseudomonas putida. RNAcentral's name for it is "bacterial SSU rRNA". It matches the Rfam family "Bacterial small subunit ribosomal RNA", at positions 65 to 597 of the family's 1533-position model. Lineage: Bacteria; Pseudomonadati; Pseudomonadota; Gammaproteobacteria; Pseudomonadales; Pseudomonadaceae. The record is from RNAcentral.